ACGGAAGGCAGCAGUGGGGAAUAUUGGGCAAUGGGCGAAAGCCUGACCCAGCAACGCCGCGUGAAGGAUGACGGUCUUCGGAUUGUAAACUUCUUUAAUUGGGGAAGAAUAAAUGACCUACCCAAAGAAUAAGUCACGGCUAACUACGUGCCAGCAGCCGCGGUAAUACGUAGGUGCCAAGCGUUAUCCGGAUUUACUGGGCGUAAAGGGCGUGUAGGCGGUUUGGCAAGUCAGAAGUGAAAUUCCUGAGCUCAACUCGGGCGCUGCUGCUGAAACUGCUAGACUUGAGUGCUGGAGGGGAUAGCGGAAGGCCUAGUGGAGCGGUAAAAUGCGCAGAUAUUAGGAGGAACACCAGUGGCGAAAGCGGCUUACUGGACUGAAACUGACACUGAGGCUCGAAAGCGUGGGGAGCAAACAGGAUUAGAUACCCUGGUA
This 435-nucleotide ribosomal RNA is filed under the name uncultured Saccharofermentans sp. Its description in RNAcentral is "partial 16S ribosomal RNA". It matches the Rfam family "Bacterial small subunit ribosomal RNA", at positions 341 to 792 of the family's 1533-position model. The record is from RNAcentral. Lineage: Bacteria; Bacillati; Bacillota; Clostridia; Eubacteriales; Oscillospiraceae.